This 1505-nucleotide ribosomal RNA is filed under the name uncultured bacterium. RNAcentral's name for it is "partial 16S ribosomal RNA". It matches the Rfam family "Bacterial small subunit ribosomal RNA". The record is from RNAcentral.
GCUUAGAGUUUGAUCCUGGCUCAGGAUGAACGCUAGCGGCAGGCCUAAUACAUGCAAGUCGAACGGCAGCGCGGGGCAACCUGGCGGCGAGUGGCGCACGGGUGAGUAACACGUACAUAACAUGCCUUUGAGAGGGGGAAAGUCACUGGAAACGGUGAAUAAUCCGCCAUAAGAUAUGCGCCUCGCAUGGGGCAAAUAUUAAAGGAGCGAUCUGCUCAAAGAUUGGUGUGCGUCUGAUUAGCUAGUUGGUGGGGUAACGGCCCACCAAGGCGACGAUCAGUAGGGGGCGUGAGAGCGUGGCCCCCCACAUGGGUACUGAGACACGGACCCAACUCCUACGGGAGGCAGCAGUAAGGAAUAUUGGUCAAUGGGCGAAAGCCUGAACCAGCCAUGCCGCGUGCGGGAAGAAGGUUCUUAGAAUUGUAAACCGCUUUUGAUAGGGAAGAAUGGGCUGGAUUUAUCCGGCAAGAGACGGUACCUAUCGAAUAAGCACCGGCUAACUCCGUGCCAGCAGCCGCGGUAAUACGGAGGGUGCAAGCGUUAUCCGGAAUCACUGGGUUUAAAGGGUACGUAGGCUGCUCGUUAAGUCAUUAUUGAAAGGUCGUUGCUUAACAACGGACGUGGUAAAGAUACUGGCGAGCUAGAAUUAGACAGAGGUUGGCAGAAUGUGUCAUGUAGCGGUGAAAUGCAUAGAUAUGACAUAGAAUACCGAUAGCGAAGGCAGCUGACUGGGUCUAAAUUGACGCUGAGGUACGAAAGCGUGGGGAUCAAACAGGAUUAGAUACCCUGGUAGUCCACGCCGUAAACGAUGUCAACUAACUGUUCGGAGUCACUAAGAUUCUGAGUAGUGAAGCUAACGCGAUAAGUUGACCGCCUGGGGAGUACGGCCGCAAGGUUGAAACUCAAAGAAAUUGACGGGGGCCCGCACAAGCGGUGGAGUAUGUGGUUUAAUUCGAUGCAACGCGAAGAACCUUACCCGGUCUUGACAUGGUAGGAAUCUUGUGGAGAUACGAGAGUGCCUUCGGGAACCUACACACAGGUGCUGCACGGCUGUCGUCAGCUCGUGUCGUGAGAUGUUGGGUUAAGUCCCGCAACGAGCGCAACCCUUGCCCUUAGUUACCAUCAUUUAGUUGGGGACUCUAAGGGGACUGCCGGUGAUAAACCGGAGGAAGGUGGGGACGACGUCAAGUCAUCCUGGCCCUUAUGACCGGGGCUACACACGUACUACAAUGGUCGGUACAGACGGUCGCAAGCUCGCGAGAGUAAGCUAAUCCGAGAAAACCGAUCGUAGUCCGGAUCGCAGUCUGCAACUCGACUGCGUGAAGUCGGAAUCGCUAGUAAUCGCAAAUCAGAAUGUUGCGGUGAAUACGUCCCCGGGCCUUGUACAUACCGCCCGUCACACCAUGGGAGUUGUUGCAAAAGAAGUAGGUAGCUUAACCGUAAGGAGGGCGCUUACCACUUUGUGGCCGAUGACUGGGGUGAAGUCGUAACAAGGUAACCAAGCC